RNAcentral lists this unclassified non-coding RNA (306 nucleotides) under plant metagenome. RNAcentral's name for it is "partial contains 5.8S ribosomal RNA, internal transcribed spacer 2, and large subunit ribosomal RNA". The stretch from base 1 to 104 matches the Rfam family "5.8S ribosomal RNA", at positions 51 to 154 of the family's 154-position model. The record is from RNAcentral.
AAAUGCGAUAAGUAAUGUGAAUUGCAGAAUUCAGUGAAUCAUCGAAUCUUUGAACGCACAUUGCGCCCGCCAGCACUCUGGCGGGCAUGCCUGUUCGAGCGUCAUUUCAACCCUCAGAACCCCUUGCGGGAUCUGGCGUUGGGGAUUGGCAUCCAGCCAGCCCCGAAAUCUAGUGGCGGUCCCUCCGCGACCUCCCCUGUGCAGUAGCGAUACCUCGCAGCGGGACAGCGGUCUGACCACGCCGUAAAACCCCCAACUUCACAAGGUUGACCUCGAAUCAGGUAGGAAUACCCGCUGAACUUAAGC